RNAcentral lists this unclassified non-coding RNA (314 nucleotides) under uncultured Basidiomycota. RNAcentral's name for it is "sequence contains 5.8S rRNA gene, ITS2, 28S rRNA gene". The stretch from base 1 to 52 matches the Rfam family "5.8S ribosomal RNA", at positions 103 to 154 of the family's 154-position model. Lineage: Eukaryota; Fungi; Basidiomycota. The record is from RNAcentral.
AACGCACCUUGCACUCUUUGGUAUUCCGAAGAGUAUGUCUGUUUGAGUGUCGUGAAACUCUCAACCCCCCUGUUUUGUAAUGAGACGGGCGUUUGGGCUUGGAUUAUGGCUGCUGCGGGCGCUUUAAUUAGCACCGGCUCAGCUGAAAUACAUGAGCAACGUUUGAAUACCGGACGGCUUGACUCGGCGUAAUAACUAUUUCGCUGGGGACGUUCACCUUUCAAAGGCUGCUUCCAAUGCGGCUGGCUUGAAACAAUAGUCACCACUUUUAAGCUUUAGACCUCAAAUCAGUCAGGACUACCCGCUGAACUUAA